Molecule: transfer RNA, 72 nt
Filed under: Camelus dromedarius (Arabian camel)
Lineage: Eukaryota; Metazoa; Chordata; Mammalia; Artiodactyla; Camelidae
Also listed under: 1 other name
Rfam family: tRNA
About the family: Transfer RNA (tRNA) molecules are approximately 80 nucleotides in length. Their secondary structure includes four short double-helical elements and three loops (D, anti-codon, and T loops).
Source: Rfam by way of RNAcentral
GUGGGUGUAGCUCAGUGGUGGAGCCCAUGCUUUGCAUGCACAGGGUCCUGGGUUCAAUCCCCAGUACCUCCA